GUGGGGAAUUUUCCGCAAUGGGCGAAAGCCUGACGGAGCGACGCUGCGUGAAGGAUGACGGCCUGCGGGUUGUAAACUUCUUUUCUCGAAGAAGAAUAAAUGACGGUAUUCGAGGAAUAAGCAUCGGCUAACUCUGUGCCAGCAGCCGCGGUAAGACAGAGGAUGCAAGUGUUAUUCGGAUUGAUUGGGCGUAAAGCGUCUGUAGGCGGUUUGGAAAGUCUUUUGUGAAAUUCUUCAGCUCAACUGGGGGUCCGCAAAAGAAACUUCUAGGCUUGAGGGAAGUAGAGGUACAGGGAAUUUCCGGUGGAGCGGUGAAAUGCGUAGAUAUCGGAAGGAACACCAAUAUGGCGAAGGCACUGUACUGGGCUUUACCUGACGCUAAGAGACGAAAGCUAAAGGAGUGAUUAGGAUUAGAUACCCUAGUAAUUUUAGCCGUAAACGAUGGAAACUCACUGCCGAGCCGGUAUUCGGAGCGGUGGUCAAGCUAACGCGUGAAGUUUCCCGCCUGGGGACUACGCAUGCAAAUGUGAA
RNAcentral lists this ribosomal RNA (531 nucleotides) under uncultured Phyllobacterium sp. RNAcentral's name for it is "bacterial SSU rRNA". It matches the Rfam family "Bacterial small subunit ribosomal RNA", at positions 354 to 898 of the family's 1533-position model. The record is from RNAcentral. Lineage: Bacteria; Pseudomonadati; Pseudomonadota; Alphaproteobacteria; Hyphomicrobiales; Phyllobacteriaceae.